Molecule: ribosomal RNA, 2933 nt
Filed under: Enterobacter hormaechei
Lineage: Bacteria; Pseudomonadati; Pseudomonadota; Gammaproteobacteria; Enterobacterales; Enterobacteriaceae
Description: 23S ribosomal RNA
Rfam family: Bacterial large subunit ribosomal RNA
Source: RNAcentral
GGGUUGUGAGGUUAAGCGACUAAGCGUACACGGUGGAUGCCCUGGCAGUCAGAGGCGAUGAAGGACGUGCUAAUCUGCGAAAAGCGCCGGCGAGGUGAUAUGAACCUUUGACCCGGCGAUGUCCGAAUGGGGAAACCCAGUGCAAUCCGUUGCACUAUCGUUAACUGAAUACAUAGGUUAACGAGGCGAACCGGGGGAACUGAAACAUCUAAGUACCCCGAGGAAAAGAAAUCAACCGAGAUUCCCCCAGUAGCGGCGAGCGAACGGGGAGCAGCCCGGAGUCUGAAUCAGCUUGUGUGUUAGUGGAACGGUCUGGAAAGUCCGACGGUACAGGGUGAUAGUCCCGUACACGAAAAUGCACAUGCUGUGAACUCGAAGAGUAGGGCGGGACACGUGGUAUCCUGUCUGAAUAUGGGGGGACCAUCCUCCAAGGCUAAAUACUCCUGACUGACCGAUAGUGAACCAGUACCGUGAGGGAAAGGCGAAAAGAACCCCGGCGAGGGGAGUGAAAAAGAACCUGAAACCGUGUACGUACAAGCAGUGGGAGCCUCUUUUAUGGGGUGACUGCGUACCUUUUGUAUAAUGGGUCAGCGACUUAUAUUCUGUAGCAAGGUUAACCGUAUAGGGGAGCCGAAGGGAAACCGAGUCUUAACUGGGCGUUAAGUUGCAGGGUAUAGACCCGAAACCCGGUGAUCUAGCCAUGGGCAGGUUGAAGGUUGGGUAACACUAACUGGAGGACCGAACCGACUAAUGUUGAAAAAUUAGCGGAUGACCUGUGGCUGGGGGUGAAAGGCCAAUCAAACCGGGAGAUAGCUGGUUCUCCCCGAAAGCUAUUUAGGUAGCGCCUCGUGAACUCAUCUUCGGGGGUAGAGCACUGUUUCGGCUAGGGGGCCAUCCCGGCUUACCAACCCGAUGCAAACUACGAAUACCGAAGAAUGUUAUCACGGGAGACACACGGCGGGUGCUAACGUCCGUCGUGAAGAGGGAAACAACCCAGACCGCCAGCUAAGGUCCCAAAGUCAUGGUUAAGUGGGAAACGAUGUGGGAAGGCACAGACAGCCAGGAUGUUGGCUUAGAAGCAGCCAUCAUUUAAAGAAAGCGUAAUAGCUCACUGGUCGAGUCGGCCUGCGCGGAAGAUGUAACGGGGCUAAACCAUGCACCGAAGCUGCGGCAGCGACACUAUGUGUUGUUGGGUAGGGGAGCGUUCUGUAAGCCGUUGAAGGUGUGCUGUGAGGCAUGCUGGAGGUAUCAGAAGUGCGAAUGCUGACAUAAGUAACGAUAAAGCGGGUGAAAAGCCCGCUCGCCGGAAGACCAAGGGUUCCUGUCCAACGUUAAUCGGGGCAGGGUGAGUCGACCCCUAAGGCGAGGCCGAAAGGCGUAGUCGAUGGGAAACAGGUUAAUAUUCCUGUACUUGGUGUUACUGCGAAGGGGGGACGGAGAAGGCUAUGUCAGCCGGGCGACGGUUGUCCCGGUUUAAGCAUGUAGGCGGAGGUUCCAGGUAAAUCCGGUACCUUGUUAACGCUGAGGUGUGAUGACGAGGCACUACGGUGCUGAAGUGAUAAAUGCCCUGCUUCCAGGAAAAGCCUCUAAGCAUCAGGUAACACGAAAUCGUACCCCAAACCGACACAGGUGGUCAGGUAGAGAAUACCAAGGCGCUUGAGAGAACUCGGGUGAAGGAACUAGGCAAAAUGGUGCCGUAACUUCGGGAGAAGGCACGCUGAUGUGUAGGUGAAGCCCCUGCGGGCGGAGCUGAAAUCAGUCGAAGAUACCAGCUGGCUGCAACUGUUUAUUAAAAACACAGCACUGUGCAAACACGAAAGUGGACGUAUACGGUGUGACGCCUGCCCGGUGCCGGAAGGUUAAUUGAUGGGGUUAGCGGCAACGCGAAGCUCUUGAUCGAAGCCCCGGUAAACGGCGGCCGUAACUAUAACGGUCCUAAGGUAGCGAAAUUCCUUGUCGGGUAAGUUCCGACCUGCACGAAUGGCGUAAUGAUGGCCAGGCUGUCUCCACCCGAGACUCAGUGAAAUUGAACUCGCUGUGAAGAUGCAGUGUACCCGCGGCAAGACGGAAAGACCCCGUGAACCUUUACUAUAGCUUGACACUGAACACUGGUCCUUGAUGUGUAGGAUAGGUGGGAGGCUUUGAAGCGUGGACGCCAGUCUGCGUGGAGCCAACCUUGAAAUACCACCCUUUAAUGGCUGGUGUUCUAACGUAGACCCGUAAUCCGGGUUGCGGACAGUGUCUGGUGGGUAGUUUGACUGGGGCGGUCUCCUCCCAAAGAGUAACGGAGGAGCACGAAGGUUGGCUAAUCCUGGUCGGACAUCAGGAGGUUAGUGCAAUGGCAUAAGCCAGCUUGACUGCGAGCGUGACGGCGCGAGCAGGUGCGAAAGCAGGUCAUAGUGAUCCGGUGGUUCUGAAUGGAAGGGCCAUCGCUCAACGGAUAAAAGGUACUCCGGGGAUAACAGGCUGAUACCGCCCAAGAGUUCAUAUCGACGGCGGUGUUUGGCACCUCGAUGUCGGCUCAUCACAUCCUGGGGCUGAAGUAGGUCCCAAGGGUAUGGCUGUUCGCCAUUUAAAGUGGUACGCGAGCUGGGUUUAGAACGUCGUGAGACAGUUCGGUCCCUAUCUGCCGUGGGCGCUGGAGAAUUGAGGGGGGCUGCUCCUAGUACGAGAGGACCGGAGUGGACGCAUCACUGGUGUUCGGGUUGUCAUGCCAAUGGCACUGCCCGGUAGCUAAAUGCGGAAGAGAUAAGUGCUGAAAGCAUCUAAGCACGAAACUUGCCCCGAGAUGAGUUCUCCCUGAGACUUUAAGUCUCCUGAAGGAACGUUGAAGACGACGACGUUGAUAGGUCGGGUGUGUAAGCGCAGCGAUGCGUUGAGCUAACCGAUACUAAUGAACCGUGAGGCUUAACCUUACAACGCCGAAGGUGUUU